Molecule: ribosomal RNA, 484 nt
Filed under: uncultured bacterium
Lineage: Bacteria
Description: partial 16S ribosomal RNA
Rfam family: Bacterial small subunit ribosomal RNA
Source: RNAcentral
GAUGAACGCUGGCGGCGUGCUUAACACGUGCAAGUCGAACGAUGAAGCCGGAGCUUGCUCUGGUGAAUUAGUGGCGAACGGGUGAGUAACACGUGAGUAACCUGCCCUUGACUCUGGGAUAACUGCUAGAAAUGGUAGCUAAUACCGGAUACGACCCUCGGAGGCAUCUCCAGGGGGUGGAAAGAAUUUCGGUCAAGGAUGGACUCGCGGCCUAUCAGCUAGUUGGUGAGGUAACGGCUCACCAAGGCGACGACGGGUAGCCGGCCUGAGAGGGUGACCGGCCACACUGGGACUGAGACACGGCCCAGACUCCUACGGGAGGCAGCAGUGGGGAGUAUUGCACAAUGGGCGCAAGCCUGAUGCAGCAACGCCGCGUGAGGGAUGACGGCCUUCGGGUUGUAAACCUCUUUUAGUAGGGAAGAAGCGAAAGUGACGGUACCUGCAGAAAAAGCACCGGCUAACUACGUGCCAGCCGCCGCAGUAA